CAUCGUGUCAAAACACCCUCUCCGAAUUGUGGGGUGCCAAUCCGCUACUCGCUUCCGAAACUUCAAUUAGGCCACAACAAAGGGCAUCACUUGCACAUUGGGCUGUCAAGAAUCAUCUAAUUCG
Non-coding RNA from Caenorhabditis elegans, 124 nucleotides. The record is from Ensembl. Lineage: Eukaryota; Metazoa; Nematoda; Chromadorea; Rhabditida; Rhabditidae.